AAGCGGAGAAAGGGGAGGGCGGCUAGCUCCUGUCACACGUUUGGGUAAAGCUUAUCCUGUCACACUCUACGGUGCUUUGUAGUGUCACGUAUUAUGAGAGCGAGGUGGAUUCCCACACGAUAAGGAAACCCAGACCGCGAUCCUCCGCCCGCAGCUCCUCUGUACUUACCCCAGCAUUGACGUAACCAGAAAUCUUGUGAGGCCACGCAACAAUUGGAGAAAGCCGUUUCGUCAUCGAUAUGCUGAACAGCGUGUAAAGCGGACAGAGGAUUGCCGGUCUGUGUUUCCUAAAGAAUAAGGAAUCAAUGGAGAAAAAAAAAGUGGAAAACAACCUAACACCCGAGAUCGCGCAAACUCCAUCGCAUUUUCGCAUUCCCUAUGGAAGUCAAUGAAGAAAAAAAAUGUUUUGAAAAAAAAAAUAACGCUCAUCGUGCAAACAACAGCCCUUAAAAAAAAUUUGUGCAAUCUUUUUAUUAAAAAUGUUUUAUCAGACAGUGUUAAUAUGAGUUUAAGUGUACAUUAAAAUGUAUUUUUGAA
Molecule: long non-coding RNA, 537 nt
Organism: Bombina bombina (fire-bellied toad)
Lineage: Eukaryota; Metazoa; Chordata; Amphibia; Anura; Bombinatoridae
Exons: 3
Source: RefSeq, a predicted model, not a curated record